Molecule: non-coding RNA, 29 nt
Filed under: Homo sapiens (human)
Lineage: Eukaryota; Metazoa; Chordata; Mammalia; Primates; Hominidae
Source: RNAcentral
UCCACGAUCUCCACGUUGACGACCUUUGC